Molecule: long non-coding RNA, 981 nt
Organism: Peromyscus eremicus (cactus mouse)
Lineage: Eukaryota; Metazoa; Chordata; Mammalia; Rodentia; Cricetidae
Exons: 5
Source: RefSeq, a predicted model, not a curated record
AGGUUUGUUUGAUGGAAGUGAUUUUUCAACUGAGGUUCCUUCUUCCUAGUGUGCCAAGCUGACAAUCAAGACUUGACAUCACAGAAGUUGCGAGACCUCCUGAGUCAAUGUUGUUACCUGUGUGGAGAGAGCAGAGCCAACAACAAUGGUCACAAGUACACAGAGUGAACAGGAAGUGAGCACUGAAGAGAGGAAGUGAGAUUUCUUAGUAAGAAGGCCACUCCAACUCAGAGCUAACCAAGCUCAAGCAAGGAGUGCAGAGGAGCUCACAAAGCUCCAUCUUAUCUGAGGAACUAUUAGCAGUUGAUGGCUGCUGAGGAAGAGAGAGUCACUGCUUUUUGGGAGUGUGGCCACUGGUAGGAUGACAUCACAAUCAUAUGAGUACAUGGACAACAUUAACUGGACUCAGAGUCAUUGUCUCACUUCAGAAACAGCAGGAUGGAAGGAGAUGGGGCAGCUGAGUGAAAAUCUUCACUAAGAGAGACCUGGGCUACUCCAGCUGCACUACUGUGUUACUACAGAUCAUUGCAACCUUGAUGAACAGAACAGCGGCUCCGACCUCCGGGUCUGAAAAGUGACACACACAAAGUGAGUCCUUUAGGAAUACACUGUGUAUUCAAGCUUUGGGAUGACUGCAGUGUGGAAGGAAGGCUGUCACCUCAAUGUCCCUGCUGCCUGAGCUCAUGGGUUCUUCCUCCCCAGGACCAGACAACCCUUUGUUCAAUCUUUGGGCAGCACCUGCUGUACUCUCAGGGGGCAGUCUCACAGCACAGUGGUUGGUGACCACACUGGCUGCAUGUGUCCCCACACACAGUCAGCAUGUUCCAACAUCAUACUUCUUGUCUCUUCUCAUUCUCAUUGUCACUCCCCAUGCCACACACACUGACCAUGCUUCCCUUUUCCUUCGGAAAAGGAAUUUGCUGUGCCCAUGAGAACACUUCCAUGCCUGUUUCAGGGGCUAAUCUCUUUUGCAUGUUUCAU